CAAUUACUCCCUCCGUCCCAAAAUUCUUGUCUUAGAUUUGUCUAAAUACGGAUGUAUCAAGUCGUGUUUUAGUAUUAUAUACAUUCGUAUCUAGACUAAUUUAACACAAGAAUUUUGAGAUGGAGGGAGUAUCAA
Non-coding RNA from Triticum aestivum (bread wheat), 135 nucleotides. The record is from Rfam. Lineage: Eukaryota; Viridiplantae; Streptophyta; Magnoliopsida; Poales; Poaceae.